RNAcentral lists this ribosomal RNA (252 nucleotides) under uncultured bacterium. Its description in RNAcentral is "partial 16S ribosomal RNA". It matches the Rfam family "Bacterial small subunit ribosomal RNA", at positions 524 to 775 of the family's 1533-position model. The record is from RNAcentral.
UACGUAGGGGGCGAGCGUUAUCCGGAUUCACUGGGUUUAAAGGGUGCGUAGGUGGGCAGGUAAGUCAGUGGUGAAAUCUCCGGGCUUAACCCGGAAACUGCCAUUGAUACUAUUUGUCUUGAAUAUCGUGGAGGUGAGCGGAAUAUGUCAUGUAGCGGUGAAAUGCUUAGAUAUGACAUAGAACACCCAUUGCGAAGGCAGCUCACUACACGAUUAUUGACGCUGAGGCACGAAAGCGUGGGGAGCAAACAG